Molecule: ribosomal RNA, 71 nt
Filed under: uncultured bacterium
Lineage: Bacteria
Description: partial 16S ribosomal RNA
Source: RNAcentral
UCGAUUGCUCCAGAAGUGCCUGAGCCAACCGCAAGGAGGCAGGGCCCAAGGAGUGAUCGGUAACUGGGGUG